GUGGGGAAUCUUGCGCAAUGGGCGAAAGCCUGACGCAGCCAUGCCGCGUGGAUGAUGAAGGUCUUAGGAUUGUAAAAUUCUUUCACCGGGGACGAUAAUGACGGUACCCGGAGAAGAAGCCCCGGCUAACUUCGUGCCAGCAGCCGCGGUAAUACGAAGGGGGCUAGCGUUGCUCGGAAUUACUGGGCGUAAAGGGCGCGUAGGCGGAUCGUUAAGUCAGGGGUGAAAUCCCAGAGCUCAACUCUGGAACUGCCCUUGAUACUGGCGAUCUUGAGUGUGAGAGAGGUAUGUGGAACUCCGAGUGUAGAGGUGAAAUUCGUAGAUAUUCGGAAGAACACCAGUGGCGAAGGCGACAUACUGGCUCAUUACUGACGCUGAGGCGCGAAAGCGUGGGGAGCAAACAGGAUUAGAUACCCUAGUAGUCC
RNAcentral lists this ribosomal RNA (425 nucleotides) under uncultured bacterium. RNAcentral's name for it is "partial 16S ribosomal RNA". It matches the Rfam family "Bacterial small subunit ribosomal RNA", at positions 354 to 796 of the family's 1533-position model. The record is from RNAcentral.